GCCCCCGUAGCUCAGUCCGGAUAGAGCAGCGGACUUCUAUUCCGAAGGUCGGAGGUUCGAAUCCUCCCGGGGGCG
RNAcentral lists this transfer RNA (75 nucleotides) under Acidimicrobiales bacterium. RNAcentral's name for it is "tRNA-Arg". It matches the Rfam family "tRNA". From Rfam's summary of the family: Transfer RNA (tRNA) molecules are approximately 80 nucleotides in length. Their secondary structure includes four short double-helical elements and three loops (D, anti-codon, and T loops). Further hydrogen bonds mediate the characteristic L-shaped molecular structure. tRNAs have two regions of fundamental functional importance: the anti-codon, which is responsible for specific mRNA codon recognition, and the 3' end, to which the tRNAs corresponding amino acid is attached (by aminoacyl-tRNA synthetases). tRNAs cope with the degeneracy of the genetic code in two manners: having more than one tRNA (with a specific anti-codon) for a particular amino acid; and 'wobble' base-pairing, i.e. permitting non-standard base-pairing at the 3rd anti-codon position. Lineage: Bacteria; Bacillati; Actinomycetota; Acidimicrobiia; Acidimicrobiales. The record is from RNAcentral.